This 22-nucleotide non-coding RNA is filed under the name Arabidopsis thaliana (thale cress). The record is from RNAcentral. Lineage: Eukaryota; Viridiplantae; Streptophyta; Magnoliopsida; Brassicales; Brassicaceae.
UGAGCUGAGGUUACUCGACCAC